This 253-nucleotide ribosomal RNA is filed under the name uncultured bacterium. Its description in RNAcentral is "partial 16S ribosomal RNA". It matches the Rfam family "Bacterial small subunit ribosomal RNA", at positions 524 to 776 of the family's 1533-position model. The record is from RNAcentral.
UACGGAGGGCGCAAGCGUUGCUCGGAAUUACUGGGCGUAAAGCGCGUUCAGGCGGUCGAGUAAGUCGGUUGUGAAAUCCCCAGGCUCAACCUGGGAACUGCAUCCGAAACUGCUCGGCUAGAGUCCCGGAGAGGGAGGCGGAACUCCCAGUGUAGGGGUGAAAUCCGUAGAUAUUGGGAAGAACACCGGCGGAGAAAGCGGCCUCCGGGACGGUGACUGACGUUGAGACGCGAAAGCGUGGGGAGCAACCAGG